Molecule: long non-coding RNA, 81 nt
Organism: Sinocyclocheilus anshuiensis
Lineage: Eukaryota; Metazoa; Chordata; Actinopteri; Cypriniformes; Cyprinidae
Exons: 3
Source: RefSeq, a predicted model, not a curated record
CAUAACAUUUUUAUAGCUAAAAUAAUCAUUAAUGUUGCAUUUAUAAAUGUUAAAAUAAGGUCUUGUGAUACAAAACUACCA